RNA transcript from Vitis riparia (riverbank grape), 3734 nucleotides. It is a transcript of the gene named thaumatin-like protein 1b, with no coding region annotated. Lineage: Eukaryota; Viridiplantae; Streptophyta; Magnoliopsida; Vitales; Vitaceae. The record is from RefSeq and is a predicted model, not a curated record. The transcript is spliced from 7 exons.
CCUUGCUGCCCUCAAAUGCCAAGUCCGUACCUCUCUCUUCGCUUCUCUCCGGUCAUCGGAGCUCCGUUUUCCGGAUACGAAAGCUCAGAUCUCCAACACCGUCGUGAUCGGACGAAGCUCAGCUGCUGAUAAUAGUGAGCUGAAGGCAACAUGUCUGCCACACAGGAUGGAAUCCUAGGCCGACCAAAAGCCGAAUGGACACCAUCCCGAGAUGCUUAUUUGGUUGAACUUUUUAUUGAGCAACACAAUUGUGGAAGAACCGCGUAUAAUGAAUUUAAAGUUGAAGUGUAUAAAUCAGUCACAAAUGAUUUUAAUAGGAAGUUUGGCAUGAAUCUAGAAGAGAACCAGAUUAAGAACCGGUACAAUGUUAUGAAGAAAGAUUACGGUAUUGUUAAAACCUUACUUAGUCAUCCUGGGUUUGCCUGGGAUGACAUUCGACAAAUGGUUGUGGCUGAUGAUAAAAUUUGGGACAGCUAUAUUGCGGUACGAAGUGAUGCAAGGCCCUUUCGACGCAAAAGCUUUCCUCUGUAUAAACAGAUGUCCAUUAUUUUUGAAGGGGAAAGACCCAGUGGCAGAUACCAAUUUCCAAGCGGAGUUCUUUUGGAACCUGAAGAGGAAAAUAGCAACACAGAAACGGUUCGAUCCUCAGAGCCCAGCAACCUACCAACACAAGUCGUUGAUGGUGCCCUUGAUUCUGAUUCAAUAUUCCAUAUAAAUGACGUGCAACCCAAGAAACGCAAAUCUACUGGUCCAGUAACUUCUAGUCGUAAGAGAAGAGCAUGCGACAGGGUUGGAGAUAAGUUAGAAAAUGUCUUGUAUGAGAUGUUCUCAGCAGCCAGUUUCAAAUGUUUGCAAAGGAAUGCAAUAAAAGAACAAACAAUGUACCAGAAGUGCUUAGAGGAGUUGCAGGGAUUAGAAGAGUUGGAUGACUCAGAGUUUACAAAGGCUGUUAAUGUCCUUAGAGAUGAUAAGAAUGCAAUUGCUUUCAUGACAAUUAAAGGACCAAGGAGGUUGACCUGGUUGAGGUCUCUAUGGCAAACAUAGUAAACAACCUCAUUCACACCAUCUUGCCCACUUCAUUUCAUGUCUUAUCCACAAAUCCAGGAAACUUCCCUUCUCUUUUAUACAGUCUUAUUUAUUUUGCCCUGGAUGAUAUUCUGUUCUAUAUAUGUGUACACAAAGGCAUUGUUCCUUUAAUCGAUUAACCUUAUUACUCACUUGCAUUUUGUUGAUGGAUAUGUUACCAUGGUCUUUAUGUUGCAUAUUCUAGAUCCACAUGCUUUACAUUUAUGGGUGGUCAGGAUGUUUUGCUUGGAAUGUUUGGACGUGUUGUUCGGUUAUGUUCUCACAAUUUUGCAGAAAUAGCUUUCACACUGUUUCGUGGAGGAUACUGGCAGUUUGUGCAUGUGGACGAGGACCUCUGGCAGGCAUUUAUUUCAUGGUUGGUGAACAAUGACGGGUAAUACUAUAGUUAGGUUUCAUAGAUAGCUUCUUGUAUCUGCAAUGUUACACUUAGAUAUGUUGAUUAAUCUCCCACCAGUAGAGUCCAUUACUGGGUCCCGUACCCAAGUACAUUAUUUGAACACUUGCAUGAUUUGCGGUCCGAUGGUUGCUAUGGAGUGCGACAUUUUGAAGGACAGUUAUCUGCCUUCAAAAUGCAUACAGAAAAGCAGUAUUGCCAAUCAUGCUCGUAACCCUUUCUUUUUUUUUUUUUUUGGUGGUGAAAAUAGUUUGUCAUUAUGAAUAUUGUUAGAUUUUUCUGAAGAGUUACAUGGCAUGUGAAAAAAAAUGCAUAUUAUGUUUUGAAAACUGAUCUAUGUAGAUUGCAUAAUAAUCCUAUUUGUUUAUAUUAGAGCUAUUUUCUUCAUCCUGUGUGUACCCCAAUUGGUGAAAUUUUUGAGGGGUAUAGACAGUUUUUUCUCCUCUUAGUAUCCAAAGCAAUUGGAUACUAUUGUAGUCUUACCCAACUGUGUAGAACUGCAAAACUACAGAAGUGAAAGGGAAAACAUAGAAAUAAUUGAAAAUAAAAAGAACAAUUUUAAGUGGGUUCCAUAGAAUUCGAGUGGCCUCCAUGCAAAAAGGAGACAGCGACCGAUGAGCUUGUCAACAAUCAAUAUGCUCUCUUCGCAUACACAGAAACGAUUCCGUAAGGGAAAAAAAAGAAACGAAGGAAAGAAAGUGAAAAAGAAAAAGUUGUUACAAUUCUCAAAAACCCAUCUUCAAGUUCCUCUUUAUCAUCAUCUUGAAUUCAUAAUCUCUCUCAAUGGAUCGUCCCGUCAUCUUUGUUGCCACCAUUCUGGCCCUCCUCUGUGUCUCAGAAGUUGAUUCAGCAACGUUCAGACUCAUCAACAAGUGCCGCCACACAAUCUGGCCGGGAUUUUUGUCUGGCGCCAACACGGCGCCCCUCGCUUCCACAGGCUUUGUUCUCAAGAGUGGCAAAUCCAGGACCAUCUCGGUGCCCAGAUCAUGGUCCGGUCGGAUGUGGGGUCGAACCCUUUGUGCCGAAGACGAUUCCGGGAAGUUUUCUUGCGCCACCGCCGAUUGUGGCUCCGGGAAGGUGGAGUGCGAUGGAGGCAACGCCGAACCGCCGGCGACUUUGGCGGAGUUCACGUUGAACGGCGACCAAGGUUUGGACUUUUACGACGUGAGCUUGGUUGAUGGGUACAAUCUCCCCAUGCUGGUGGUGGCAAGGGGUGGCCACGGCGGUGACUGCAGCGCCACCGGGUGUCUCGUCGACCUGAACGGCGCGUGCCCGAAGGAGCUGAGGGUGGUGGCUUCGGCGACGAACGGCAGCCGCGGCGCGAGUGUCGCGUGUAAAAGCGCGUGUGAAGCUUUCGGAGAUCCGAUGUAUUGCUGCAGUCAAGCUUAUUCUACGCCCGACACAUGUCAACCAUCAGUGUACUCUCAGUUCUUUAAACAUGCUUGCCCACGCUCCUAUAGCUACGCGUAUGAUGACAAGACGAGCACCUUCACUUGUGCCUCUGCAGAUUACAUUAUCAUCUUCUGUCCAUCCCCUUUCACCAGCCAAAAAGUGUUGGCGUUGCGGAGAGAAGCAGCAGAGCUGCCUCUAGUGAACAAAACCAUGAUGUACAUAGGAAGAAAAUAUGCGAGCGGCACUUCAUCCCCAGGUCGGGUUCAAGAGCAAAUCAUAGCUCAUGGUGCCUCCAUUGUGGUGUCGCUAUUGCUCCUCUUGCUAUUUUUGUAACAGUUUCAGGAAUUGCCACGGAAAGUCUAGCUGAAAGGUGGUUGUCAUCUUGUAGACGACCCCAUUGUUGUACCAGUCCUCAUUGGGCUGGCAAAGGAUGUUGCAGCUAAAAUUCAAGGAAAUAUGCUGGCCACAUAAUAUUGAAGAUGAUAUGGGUCUAGGAGAAGUGGUCUUGAAAUUCAAUCGCUGUUGAAGACAGUAGCGUCAUUUGAUCCUCAAAAGGAGUUUCUUUCUUAUCAUAUUUGCACAGAAAGAAUUGAUGCAAAUUCAGUUGCUAGUGUCUGUCUCCAGAUAGGGUUUUGGGCCUUGGCUUAGAGGGGAUUUGAUUUGGAUUACAGAUUCCAAAUGGCCGCUUCUAAGUGAAGAUGGCUUGGAUCAAUUAUAAAGCCCAUUUUAAUCUUCUUAUUGCAAGGUUUGAAAUCAGAUCUGUUUGAGUCUGAGAUUCUUUCUGAGACGCUGUCACUCAAGAUUUCGUUUGCUUGCUUAAAUGAUGUGAUAUCCAAUACCAUAAAAGGGAGGAAUUGUUAAA